UCUCCGUAGGUGAACCUGUGGAGGGAUAAUAACUGAGUGAGGGCUUCGGUCCGACCUCCAACCCUUUGUGAACCAAACUUGUUGCUUCGGGGGCGACCCUGCCGCUUCGGCGGUGCGGCGCCCCCGGAGGACAUUAAACACUGCAUCAUUGCGUCGGAGUUAAAGUAAAUUAAACAAAACUUUCAACAACGGAUCUCUUGGUUCCAGCAUCGAUGAAGAACGCAGC
This 226-nucleotide unclassified non-coding RNA is filed under the name uncultured fungus. RNAcentral describes it as "sequence contains ITS1, 5.8S rRNA gene". The stretch from base 178 to 226 matches the Rfam family "5.8S ribosomal RNA", at positions 1 to 49 of the family's 154-position model. The record is from RNAcentral. Lineage: Eukaryota; Fungi.